This 229-nucleotide unclassified non-coding RNA is filed under the name uncultured fungus. RNAcentral describes it as "sequence contains ITS1, 5.8S rRNA gene". The stretch from base 181 to 229 matches the Rfam family "5.8S ribosomal RNA", at positions 1 to 49 of the family's 154-position model. The record is from RNAcentral. Lineage: Eukaryota; Fungi.
UCUCCGUAGGUGAACCUGCGGAGGGAUCCUUACUGAGUGAGGGUCUCCGGGCCCGACCUCCAACCCUUUGUGAAUCGUACUCGUUGCUUCGGGGGCGACCCUGCCGUUUCGACGGCGAGCGCCCCCGGGGUCAAUCAAACACUGCAUUCUCUGCGUCGGAGUAUUAGUAAAUCUAAUCAAAACUUUCAACAACGGAUCUCUUGGUUCUGGCAUCGAUGAAGAACGCAGC